CAAGCUUAUCCCGGCUCAUGACUAUCAUAGUCUGGCACUCCAACAAACUUCUACAACUCCUAUCUAAUUGCUCUUGAUUUCCAUAUUUGAAUCGUAAUUGUGUAAAUAACUGCUUUUAAUAACUAAAUCAAUCAUCCAACUUCUUGAACUGACUAUUCUAUGGACUAUUAGUCUAUUUUAUCAAUAUCUUACAAAAACAAACUAAUAUCUAUUCUACAUAGCCCUACUCCUAACUAUACAGCGUCCUCGCAAACACACAAUUAAUUCCUAUCUAAAAACUAUUUAACAAAACUCUACAAAGUUAUUAUUUCUUUUGGCCCACCCAAUUGAUCAUUUGUUGCAUUAUCAAAUGUAGGUUCUACUGAAUUUGGUUCUAUAUGCAAAUCUUCUUCCUCGUCUAAUCCUUCCAUCGACUCCUUUCUCAACUGGUUUUAUAGAUCUUCAUUAUACUCUCCCAAUUCACUAAUUUGAGCCUCCAAUUUCAAGAUCUGAACAUCCCAAAGUUCUAACUAAUGUUGCUGUUGACUCAUCCAUUCUAGAACAUCUUCAAUUGACAUUUGUGACCGGCUCCUCACUAUUAACUCUUAAUUGGAACUACUACUCUCGAAUAUAUAAGAAAUACAAGAAAUGGCACCCCAACC
Molecule: long non-coding RNA, 641 nt
Filed under: Physcomitrium patens
Lineage: Eukaryota; Viridiplantae; Streptophyta; Bryopsida; Funariales; Funariaceae
Description: long non-coding RNA (PPAT_LNC012446)
Source: RNAcentral